CGGAGGGAAACCGAGUCUUAACCGGGCGUUAAGUUGCAGGGUAUAGACCCGAAACCCGGUGAUCUAGCCAUGGGCAGGUUGAAGGUUGGGUAACACUAACUGGAGGACCGAACCGACUAAUGUUGAAAAAUUAGCGGAUGACCUGUGGCUGGGGGUGAAAGGCCAAUCAAACCGGGAGAUAGCUGGUUCUCCCCGAAAGCUAUUUAGGUAGCGCCUCGUGAAUUCAUCUCCGGGGGUAGAGCACUGUUUCGGCUAGGGGGCCAUCCCGGCUUACCAACCCGAUGCAAACUGCGAAUACCGGAGAAUGUUAUCACGGGAGACACACGGCGGGUGCUAACGUCCGUCGUGAAGAGGGAAACAACCCAGACCGCCAGCUAAGGUCCCAAAGUCAUGGUUAAGUGGGAAACGAUGUGGGAAGGCCCAGACAGCCAGGAUGUUGGCUUAGAAGCAGCCAUCAUUUAAAGAAAGCGUAAUAGCUCACUGGUCGAGUCGGCCUGCGCGGAAGAUGUAACGGGGCUAAACCAU
RNAcentral lists this ribosomal RNA (525 nucleotides) under Salmonella enterica. RNAcentral describes it as "partial 23S ribosomal RNA". It matches the Rfam family "Bacterial large subunit ribosomal RNA", at positions 667 to 1190 of the family's 2925-position model. RNAcentral also lists the same sequence under 3 other names. Lineage: Bacteria; Pseudomonadati; Pseudomonadota; Gammaproteobacteria; Enterobacterales; Enterobacteriaceae. The record is from RNAcentral.